Molecule: non-coding RNA, 923 nt
Filed under: Pristimantis paramerus
Lineage: Eukaryota; Metazoa; Chordata; Amphibia; Anura; Strabomantidae
Description: 12S ribosomal RNA
Rfam family: Microsporidia small subunit ribosomal RNA
Source: RNAcentral
CACACAGGAUUGGUCCCAACCUUAUAAUCAAUUAUUUCUAGACUUACACAUGCAAGUAUCCGCACACCCGUGAAAACGCCCUUUAACCCAUUUAGGAAUAAGGAGCUGAUAUCAGGCACUAUCAUUUGCCCAAAACAUCUAGCUAUGCCACACCCCCAAGGGUAAUCAGCAGUGAUUAAAAUUAAAAAUAAACGUCAGUUUGAUUUAGUUAAUGAAAACAAAGCCGGCCAAUCUGGUGCCAGCCGCCGCGGUUACACCAUGAGACUUAAAUUGAUUUAGCCGGCGUAAAGCGUGAUUAAAGAUACAUUUACUGGGGUUAAAUUUUAACUAAGCCGUGACACGCUUGUUUUCUAGAAACUCACCUACGAAAGAUACCCCAACACACCAACUUGAACUCACGAUAACUAGAAUACAAACUGGGAUUAGAUACCCCACUAUGCCUAGUCAUAAACUCUAACUUACACCACAUCGCCAGGGAACUACGAGCAAAGCUUAAAACCCAAAGGACUUGACGGUACCCCACAUCCCCCUAGAGGAGCCUGUCCUAUAAUCGACACCCCCCGUUAAACCUCACCAUUUUUAGCUUAUCAGCCUGUAUACUUCCGUCGCCAGCUCACCACAUGAGUGAAAUUUAGUAAGCUUAAUACCCCAUAAAUACGUCAGGUCAAAGUGCAGCAAAUAAAAUGGCAAGAGAUGGGCUACACUCUCUAACUUAGAAGAAACGAAAGAUUUUUAUGAAAACAUUGUCAAAAGGUGGAUUUAGUAGUAAAAAGAAAAUAGAGAAUUCUUUUUAACUCGGCUCUGGGGUGUGUACAUACCGCCCGUCACCCUCUUCAAAAACUUACCCUAGUAUUUAACAAUUAUCUUUAACUAGAAGAGGCAAGUCGUAACAUGGUAAGUAUACCGGAAGGUGUGCUUGGAAA